AAGAAAAGAGAUUUGACGCUAAUAAACAAACAUUUCAUUAUAAAAUUAAUGUCUCUUAAUGUGUGUGUAUACGUGUGUAUGUGUGUGUGUGUGUGUGUGUGUGUGUGUGUGUGUGUGUGUAUGUAUAUUUGUAUGUAUAUGUGUGUGUGUGUGUGUGUGUGUGUGUGUGUGUGUGGUGUGUGUGUGUGUGUGUUACAUGUGCAGGUUUUUCCCCUGUUUACUUUUUUUUACAUUUGUUACGGUAAGACAAUCUGGAUCACUGGUUUCAGUCUCAAAUCCACCCACAGACAAAUGUUUUAGUAGUCUGUGGCCUCAUGCACUGAAUGUGCACAUGCACAUGUGUGUGUUGUGUGUGUGUGUGUGUGUGUGUAUAUGUGUGCGUGUGUGUGUGUGUGUGUGUGAGCGUGUGAAAGAGGAAUGUUUGUCGCCAUCCCACUUCCAGUCUCUACGCCACAAUCACACACACACAGACAGGAAGUCACAGUCCAGCUGUCCCAUAAACGGUAAACAUUAGAUGAUGUCUCCUACACACACAGACACACACAGACACACACAGACACACACAGACACACACAGACACACACAGACACACACACACACACAGACACACACAGACACACACAGACACACACACACCCCAUAAUGACGGGUUUUCUCAUCACACACAGGCACUUUCCACAAAGCAGCAUAAGUUCGAGUGGGAAAUGAGACAGCACUCCAGGGUCAUGUUCCCCUCCUAAAACUUUUAAAGCACACUGGAAAAAAUAAUCAGAUCUGAUUCAGUAUUUCCACUGAACCGGUCCCGAACUGCGUGACCCGUCACCUGUUCCGUCUCCCGUCCCCUGUCCUGUCAGGUCUACUGACAAACAAUCAGAAACGCACUUCACUUCCUGUUUCAGUUCUUUAAGUGAACAAUUUAAUUUGAAUCCACCUAAUCUCCCCUUUUUUAGGUUUUUGUUGUUUUUUUCUGGCGAGGUCACGCAGACAUGCAGCGCAGACGUGAGUCUACGUCUACACACAGGAUACAAAUACAAAUUGUGUGAAGAUCCCUGGCUAAUUUUAAAAAGAGCUGAGAGAAAACAAAAAAAAAAAAAAACCAAUGGGAAAGAAACGAAAGCGAUAGCAGCAUUAGCCGUUGUACGCUAGCGAUACGGAGCUAUUUCAAACCGACUGAUAUGAAUGGAGGAGAACCCAGCGCUGUGGCUAACGCUAAUGAAGCGCUGACCGAUGCCAAGGGUUCUUUCGAGACCGCUCCCGGUGCGAACACCACCAGCGCUAACGCUGCGUCUGGGGGUGAAGCCGAGUUCGAUGACGCUAGCUAGCUCGUCAUGACCAGCUUCCGACGCUCGUUCUCUUGGCGAAUAAUUAAUACAGUCAGAAUUUCAUAAGACCUCUUACGUCUCCGAAAGAACCCCUUGAAGAACCCUUGCUUCUAAGAGCGUAUGUAUUAAUUGUGACCACAUAAUUGCCUGCGGUCUCCUCAACACCUAGAACCUGUCAGGAGUUUCACUUCCAGCUUCUGGAGGGGUUAGAUCCGGGUCAUCAAGGGUUCUACUGGGAACCCUUUCUGAUAGGGGAGCACUCUGGGCAUGCGUAGAGGGUUUAACGGUUCUGUGUUUUGGACGCAUGACGUAGCUUUGCCGUGGAUUUGUCGGUGUUACCUGCGACUACAACUUCGUGUUUGGAACUGGGUUCUUUCACGCAGACGCUGGCAAUCCCACGGUUCCGCAGAGUACACUUAGCCCCCGCGGUGUGGCCUGGAGAUUUUAUACAAGUGUGCGCAUUUCAGAAUGCUUGUGUGAGGAGGUUUUUCUCCACAUGAUUUGUUUUGCAAAUGUCGAGCCGAAAAAAUCCAAAGAGGAAUUUGAGUUUCAUUUGAGUUUCCACUGGAGGUGAUGGAAGAAGUUCCUCAUAUGCUGUGGGACCACUGAUGAACCGUGUGACGAGGAAAACACACGCACGCACGCACGUGUGUGUGUGUGUGUGGUGUGUGUGUGUGUGUGUGUGUGUGUGUGUGUGUGUGUGUGUGUGUGUGUGUGUGUGUUCUGGAGGACGCUGCUUCUGUUAACUUUUACGCUCCUACAGCACCUUUUCCAAAAUGCAGAUUUGAGUCAAGCUGAACACACACACACACACACGCACACACGCACACACGCAACCACGCAC
Molecule: long non-coding RNA, 2166 nt
Organism: Ictalurus punctatus (channel catfish)
Lineage: Eukaryota; Metazoa; Chordata; Actinopteri; Siluriformes; Ictaluridae
Source: Ensembl